UUUUGCUCCCACAUUUUGCUUCACGGUGAACGGAAUAUUCAGCCUUACAAGAGAUUUUUUUGUAUCUGCAGUUACAGCAAAGCACUAGGACUUCAGUAGUGGCGGCAACUCAGGACAACACAGAGCUUCUGCGAUGGAAAAAGAACUUCAACUGGCAAACAUAAUGAGAAUGAAGUGGCGAAUACUGUCUCUGAAAUUGAAUUCCAUUAAACAUUUCAGAAUGAUAUCUUUCACAUUUGCUGCUGUAAUGCUUGUUCUUCCAUCCUGCUCACCCAACUUUUCUUUUGAAGGAGGGGAUAUGUAAGUAACAAAAUAUGAUAGCUGUUUCAAAAAAAAAAUAAUUGACGACCUCAAAAUUAACAUUCUAAAUUUGGUAAUCUGCCCCUAAAUUCAUCUCUUC
This is an RNA transcript of Stegodyphus dumicola, 400 nucleotides long. It is a transcript of the gene named glutamine-dependent NAD(+) synthetase pseudogene, with no coding region annotated. Lineage: Eukaryota; Metazoa; Arthropoda; Arachnida; Araneae; Eresidae. The record is from RefSeq and is a predicted model, not a curated record.